RNAcentral lists this ribosomal RNA (252 nucleotides) under uncultured bacterium. RNAcentral's name for it is "partial 16S ribosomal RNA". It matches the Rfam family "Bacterial small subunit ribosomal RNA", at positions 524 to 776 of the family's 1533-position model. The record is from RNAcentral.
UACGUAGGGCGCAAGCGUUAUCCGGAUUUAUUGGGCGUAAAGAGCGUGUAGGCGGCUUGGUAGGUCUCGCGUCAAAACCUGAGGCUCAACCUCAGUUCGCGUGGGAAACCACCUAGCUAGAGUCCGGAAGAGGAGAACGGAAUUCCCAGUGUAGCGGUGAAAUGCGCAGAUAUUGGGAAGAACACCAGUGGCGAAGGCGGUUCUCUGGGACGGUACUGACGCUGAGACGCGAAAGCGUGGGGAGCGAACAGG